This 403-nucleotide ribosomal RNA is filed under the name uncultured Sphingobacteriales bacterium. RNAcentral's name for it is "bacterial SSU rRNA". It matches the Rfam family "Bacterial small subunit ribosomal RNA", at positions 980 to 1382 of the family's 1533-position model. Lineage: Bacteria; Pseudomonadati; Bacteroidota; Sphingobacteriia; Sphingobacteriales. The record is from RNAcentral.
CUUAGAUGUAGAGUGCUAUUUUUUAGAGAUAGAAAUUCCCUUCGGGGCUUUCUGCAAGGUGCUGCAUGGUUGUCGUCAGCUCGUGCCGUGAGGUGUCGGGUUAAGUCCCAUAACGAGCGCAACCCUUAUCGUUAGUUGCCAUCUGGUAAUGCAGGGGACUCUAGCGAAACUGCCACCGUAAGGUGAGAGGAAGGUGGGGAUGACGUCAAAUCAGCACGGCCCUUAUGUCCAGGGCUACACACGUGUUACAAUGGUCGGUACAGAGGGCAGCUACCUGGUGACAGGAUGCUAAUCUCGAAAACCGGUCUCAGUUCGGAUCGAAGUCUGCAACUCGACUUCGUGAAGCUGGAUUCGCUAGUAAUCGCGCAUCAGCUAUGGCGCGGUGAAUACGUUCCCGGGCCUU